GUCCGGCCUGUUUACGCUGCAGCCAGGGGGCUGAAAGAGAGUCGCGGGCUUCCCUGUGUGACUGAGGCUGCGUGGAGGCACUGCCCAACAUGUUCGGCGACCUUCGGUCCACGUUUAUUGCCUUGAUGAUUGGGUCCUACGCCUCCUCGGCAGUCACCUUUCCAGGAAUCAAGCUCAUCUACGAUGCUGGUGUCUCCUUCAUCAUCAUCCUCGUGGUCUGGGCCGGCUGUUCCGGGCUGGUUUUCCUCAACUGCUUCUUUAACUGGCCCCUGGAGCCCUUCCCGGGGCCGGAGGACAUGGACUACUCGGUGAAGGUCAAGUUCAGCUGGCUGGGCUUCGACCACAAGAUCACAGGGAAGCAGUUCUACAAGCAGGUGACCACGGUGGGCCGGCGCCUGAGCGUGGGCAGCUCCAUGAGGAGUGCCAAGGAGCAGGUGGUACUGCAGGAGGGCCACAAGCUAUGCCUGUCCACCGUCGACCUGGAGGUGAAGUGCCAGCCGGAUGCCGCAGCGGCCCCCUCCUUCAUGCACAGCGUGUUCAGCCCCAUCCUGC
This 552-nucleotide small RNA is filed under the name Pongo abelii (Sumatran orangutan). Its description in RNAcentral is "processed transcript". The record is from RNAcentral. Lineage: Eukaryota; Metazoa; Chordata; Mammalia; Primates; Hominidae.